ACGAACGCUGGCGGCAUGCCUCACCCAUGCAAGUCGAACGAGACCUUCGGGUCUAGUGGCGCACGGGUGCGUAACGCGUGGGAACCUGCCCUUAGGUUCGGAAUAACUCCCCGAAAGGGGUGCUAAUACCGGAUAAUGUUUUCGGACCAAAGAUUUAUCGCCUUUGGAUGGGCCCGCGUUGGAUUAGCUAGUUGGUAGGGUAAAAGCCUACCAAGGCGACGAUCCAUAGCUGGUCUGAGAGGAUGAUCAGCCACACUGGGACUGAGACACGGCCCAGACUCCUACGGGAGGCAGCAGUGGGGAAUAUUGGACAAUGGGCGAAAGCCUGAUCCAGCAAUGCCGCGUGAGUGAUGAAGGCCUUAGGGUUGUAAAGCUCUUUUACCCGGGAUGAUAAUGACAGUACCGGGAGAAUAAGCUCCGGCUAACUCCGUG
RNAcentral lists this ribosomal RNA (432 nucleotides) under uncultured bacterium. Its description in RNAcentral is "partial 16S ribosomal RNA". It matches the Rfam family "Bacterial small subunit ribosomal RNA", at positions 29 to 507 of the family's 1533-position model. The record is from RNAcentral.